AAACACGCAGACAGUGGAUGCCUUGGCAUUGCACACCGAAGAAGGACGUACAUAGCAGCGAAAUGCGUCGGGGAGAAGCUACGAUUCUAUGAUCCGGCGGUGUCCGAAUGAGGCAACUCACAGAGGGUUACUCCUCUGUACCAAUACUCCAAAUAACUUUGCGAAAGCAAAGUUUACUAAUGUAUUAGGUGGGAACCCGGGGAACUGAAACAUCUCAGUACCCGGAGGAAAAGAAAUUAAAUAAGAUUUCGUCAGUAGCGGUGAGCGAAAGCGAAUCAGUCUAAACCGUCAUGUCCAGCGCAAGCUGGAUGAGACGGGGUUGCGGGACUCCAACGUAGGAGUUGUCUUGAUAGCAGAACAAUCUGGAAUGGUUGACCAUAGAGGGUGAAAGUCCUGUAUGCGAAAUCAAUGACAACCUUUAGGAGUAUCCCAAGUACCACGAUACAAAUAUACCGUGGGAAUCCGGGGGAACCAUCCUCCAAGACUAAAUAUGAUGCAGUGACCGAUAGUGAACUAGUACCGUGAGGGAAAGGUGAAAAGAUGAGCGAAACGCUCAGUUAAAAGAACCUGAAACUGUCUGCGGACAAACCGAGAGAGCUUCCACCAGCAAUGGUGGGUGUGAUCUCGUGCCUAUUGAAGAAUGAACCGACGAGUUACCGUAUGCUUCAAGUCUAAGCCACUCGCGUGGCGAAGGCGUAGGGAAACCGAGUCCGAAUAGGGCGAAUAGAUGCAUAUGGUAGACCCGAAACCCGGUGAGCUAUCCAUGAGCAGGCUGAAGGUUAUAGAAAUAUAACUGGAGGGCCGAACCCGUAUCAGUUGCAAUUGGUUGGGAUGACUUGUGGAUAGGGGUAAAAUGCCAAUCGAACCGGGAGAUAGCUGGCUCUCCCCGAAAGGUCUUUGGGGACCGUGGCUCACGAAAAAUGCAUGAGAGGUAGAGCACUGGAUGGGUUGCUUAGCGCAAGCAAGGUACCCCAAUCAAACUCCGAAUAAUUAUGCAUCUGCGUAGCUAGACAGUCAUAUCGGGCUAAGCUGAUAUGACGAAAGGGAAACAACCCAGACCAUCAAUUAAGGCCCCUAAAUUAACACUCAGUGGUAAAGGAAGUGGAAACGCGAAAACAGCUAGGAAGUUGGCUUAGAAGCAGCCAUCUUUUAAAGAAAGCGUAACAGCUCACUAGUCGAGCGUUUCUGCGCCGAAGAUUCCGCGGGGCUCAAGUGUUAUGCCGAAAUUAUGGAUUUUGCAUUCCUUCGGGAAUGUAAAGUGGUAGGGGAGCGUUCUUAUUGCAGUGAAGCUAUGGUGUAAACCGUGGUGGAGCGGUAAGAAGUGAGAAUGUCGGUAUGAGUAGCGCACAAGGAGGGUGAGAAUCCCUUCCGCCGAAUGCCCAAGGUUUCCGUCGCAAGGUUCGUCCACGACGGGUAAGUCGGCUCCUAAGGCGAGGCCCAAAAGGCGUAGUCGAUGGAUAACUGGUUAAUAUUCCAGUACUUGUUGCAAAUCGUUAUCAGCUAAGGACUAACGGAGCAAACCAAAUAAAGCCCCUUCGUGAAGUGGGGUGCAGAAGCCGCGAUAGUUGCUGUUGGAAAAUCCGCAGUGACGUUUUAAGUCGUAGUGGUGCAAAGUCUUCCGAGAGGAGGAUGAUUUUAUUUAAUAGCUUUCAAGAAACCGUUCGUAGUGAGAUUUGUAAUGAGCCGUACCGCAAACCGACACAGGUGGGCUGGUCGAGUAGACCAAGGUGAGCGAGAGAAGGAUCCUUAAGGAACUCGGCAAAAAAACUACCCGUAACUUCGGGAGAUGGGUUGCCUCGCAAUUUGUGAGGCUGCAACCAAAGUCUAUUUGACGACUGUUUAGCAAAAACACAGGUCCGUGCAAAAGCGAAAGCUUACGUAUACGGGCUGACGCCUGCCCAGUGCUGGUAAGUUAAGUGGAUGGGUGCUUGAGUCUUCGGACUCAUGUCGCUUUGAAAUGAAGCUCCAGUAAACGGCAGCAGUAACUAUAACUGUUCUACGGUGAACGAAAGCCGCCGUAGUAAAAUUUGACCAAAUGCUGGAAAAUCUCGCGUAUCUGACAGUACUUCGAAAGAAGUGAUAAUCUGAUCAGUGGAGACAAUCAGCAGGAAAGGCCAAACCGUCAAAGAAAGUUUUUUGUCAUAUGUUCCAUAAGAAAGUGCAAGAAAGCGCUAGAAGAAAUUGUUUUAAUAACUUACUGAAAGAAAAGCCAUACUUCAGAAAUAUCUACUAAAUGAAAAUUUAGUAUGUGUUGAUGGGUAAAAUUUUCUACUAGGUACGUAUUAAUUCAUACGCGUUUAAUUGCGUUUCAAGAAUGAAUACAUAAGACAAAAACUCUAUUCGUAGGUUUGGAAUCCUCAGAGACUCUACGUCAAACACCCGUUAAAAGGUGAUGAUAUAGUCCGAUCUUCAUAGCGAUAUGAAGUCCUUGUGAAAGUCACAGGGCUCCUAAUAUAGGAGUAACAAAACGAUUAAUAAUUUUAUUAAUAUAUGAGCGAAGUUCCUUGUCGGGUAAGUUCCGACCCGCACGAAUGGCGUCACGAUCAAAUAACUGUCUUAAGGAUUCACUCGGCGAAAUUGCAGUGGCUGUGAAGAUGCGGCCUAAUUACACCAGGACAAAAAGACCCCGUGAAGCUUUACUGUAUUCUGACACUGAUAGAAGCGUUUUAACUGUUUAGCGUAGGAGGGAGUGCUUGCACACCAAUGAAACACCUCUCUUUAGAAUGCUCUCUAUCUUACCUGCGAGCCGUAAUCCGGUUCGGGAAACAUGUCAGAUUGGCAGUUUUACUGGGGCGGUACCCUGCCAAAGUGUAACGCAGGGAUACAAAGGUUGGCUUACCACGGAUGGAAAUCGUGGGCAAAGCAUAAAGGUUUAAGCCAGCUUGACUGUGAGGCCGACGGGCCAAACAGG
Molecule: ribosomal RNA, 2911 nt
Filed under: bioreactor sludge metagenome
Description: bacterial LSU rRNA
Rfam family: Bacterial large subunit ribosomal RNA
Source: RNAcentral